AGGUACAUAGUAACUAGAUGAAUGAAGGUUGCUUACUCUACUUUGAACGCCAUUGUUUCUCCCAUUAUGAGCUCUAGGAGGUUCACAAGUUUGUCUAAGAUAUGCUUCAUUUCUAGAAUAUCUAUUUCUAGGUGGAGGGUCAUUUCUUGGUCUUCUAAAUUGUUCAAGGUUUGGCCUAAAAUAUGCAUCAUUUCUAGGUCUUCUANNN
This 208-nucleotide long non-coding RNA is filed under the name Nicotiana benthamiana. Its description in RNAcentral is "long non-coding RNA (NBEN_LNC006174)". The record is from RNAcentral. Lineage: Eukaryota; Viridiplantae; Streptophyta; Magnoliopsida; Solanales; Solanaceae.